This 657-nucleotide ribosomal RNA is filed under the name Triticum aestivum (bread wheat). RNAcentral's name for it is "partial small subunit ribosomal RNA". The record is from RNAcentral. Lineage: Eukaryota; Viridiplantae; Streptophyta; Magnoliopsida; Poales; Poaceae.
AUGUUUCAGCCAAAUACAUUCAAUUUUAAGCCAAAAUCCCAUAUUAAGCUCGAUGAAGCUCAAAGAUGCAUAUUGGAUAACUUUUGGUUCCAAUAUACUCGCAAAAGAGAGGAACAAGGAUAUUUUUUAUCAAUUCUCAACAGUUUGGCUGAAUAUUUUAAUGAAUUAAACAAAAAUGUGCCAAAGCCAGCAAAGGUUGAAAUACCAAAAGGAGAAACUCUAUAUCUCAUAUUCGAUGGAAAUAAACCUGGCAUAUAUUUGGAAUGGGAAAAUAUUGUGGUUGAAAAAAAAAUAGAUGCAAAAAGAAAUGGACAAGAUUUAACAUUCAAAAGAUAUUACAGUAUAGAUGAGGCCUUACUUUGGGCAAGGAAGGUAUUAGGACCAGAUUAUUAUAUUGACCCAAAGGCCAAAGACUAUAUCCAAAUGAAAAGAGGCAUACCUGCUUCACCAACUCCCACAAAGGGGGAGGCAUCAAGCUCAAAAAUUAUAAAGAAGGAAGAAUCCCCAAAAUAUAAGACAUAUCAAGAAUGCCUUCUAAAGGGGCUUGACCCUUUAGACAGUGAAUACAUAGAUCAAGAAAUGGAUAAAAGGUUUGAAGAAUUUUCAAAGAUAAUAAAGAAAGAAUUAAAGGAGGAAAUAUUAAAAGAAUUAAGGUAA